This 466-nucleotide ribosomal RNA is filed under the name uncultured bacterium. RNAcentral describes it as "bacterial SSU rRNA". It matches the Rfam family "Bacterial small subunit ribosomal RNA", at positions 329 to 792 of the family's 1533-position model. The record is from RNAcentral.
GGCCAGACUCCUACGGGAGGCAGCAGUGAGGAAUAUUGGUCAAUGGCCGGAAGGCUGAACCAGCCAAGUCGCGUGAGGGAAGACUGCCCUAUGGGUUGUAAACCUCUUUUGUCAGGGAGCAAUUGGCGCUACGUGUAGCGUUAUCGAGAGUACCUGAAGAAAAAGCAUCGGCUAACUCCGUGCCAGCAGCCGCGGUAAUACGGAGGAUGCGAGCGUUAUCCGGAUUUAUUGGGUUUAAAGGGUGCGUAGGCGGAAUGCCAAGUCAGCGGUAAAAUCGCGGGGCUCAACCUCGCUCCGCCGUUGAAACUGGCGUUCUUGAGUGGGCGAGAAGUAUGCGGAAUGCGUGGUGUAGCGGUGAAAUGCAUAGAUAUCACGCAGAACUCCGAUUGCGAAGGCAGCAUACCGGCGCCCAACUGACGCUGAAGCACGAAAGCGUGGGUAUCGAACAGGAUUAGAUACCCGAGUA